This 2930-nucleotide ribosomal RNA is filed under the name Klebsiella variicola. RNAcentral's name for it is "23S ribosomal RNA". It matches the Rfam family "Bacterial large subunit ribosomal RNA". Lineage: Bacteria; Pseudomonadati; Pseudomonadota; Gammaproteobacteria; Enterobacterales; Enterobacteriaceae. The record is from RNAcentral.
GGGUUGUGAGGUUAAGCGACUAAGCGUACACGGUGGAUGCCCUGGCAGUCAGAGGCGAUGAAGGACGUGCUAAUCUGCGAAAAGCGUCGGUAAGGUGAUAUGAACCGUUAUAACCGGCGAUGUCCGAAUGGGGAAACCCAGUGUGAUUCGUCACACUAUCGUUAACUGAAUACAUAGGUUAACGAGGCGAACCGGGGGAACUGAAACAUCUAAGUACCCCGAGGAAAAGAAAUCAACCGAGAUUCCCCCAGUAGCGGCGAGCGAACGGGGAGCAGCCCAGAGUCUGAAUCAGCUUGUGUGUUAGUGGAACGGUCUGGAAAGUCCGACGGUACAGGGUGAUAGUCCCGUACACCAAAAUGCACAGGUUGUGAACUCGAAGAGUAGGGCGGGACACGUGGUAUCCUGUCUGAAUAUGGGGGGACCAUCCUCCAAGGCUAAAUACUCCUGACUGACCGAUAGUGAACCAGUACCGUGAGGGAAAGGCGAAAAGAACCCCGGCGAGGGGAGUGAAAAAGAACCUGAAACCGUGUACGUACAAGCAGUGGGAGCACCUUCGGGUGUGACUGCGUACCUUUUGUAUAAUGGGUCAGCGACUUAUAUUCUGUAGCAAGGUUAACCGUAUAGGGGAGCCGCAGGGAAACCGAGUCUUAACUGGGCGUUAAGUUGCAGGGUAUAGACCCGAAACCCGGUGAUCUAGCCAUGGGCAGGUUGAAGGUUGGGUAACACUAACUGGAGGACCGAACCGACUAAUGUUGAAAAAUUAGCGGAUGACUUGUGGCUGGGGGUGAAAGGCCAAUCAAACCGGGAGAUAGCUGGUUCUCCCCGAAAGCUAUUUAGGUAGCGCCUCGUGAAUUCAUCUUCGGGGGUAGAGCACUGUUUCGGCUAGGGGGUCAUCCCGACUUACCAACCCGAUGCAAACUACGAAUACCGAAGAAUGUUAUCACGGGAGACACACGGCGGGUGCUAACGUCCGUCGUGAAGAGGGAAACAACCCAGACCGCCAGCUAAGGUCCCAAAGUCAUGGUUAAGUGGGAAACGAUGUGGGAAGGCACAGACAGCCAGGAUGUUGGCUUAGAAGCAGCCAUCAUUUAAAGAAAGCGUAAUAGCUCACUGGUCGAGUCGGCCUGCGCGGAAGAUGUAACGGGGCUAAACCAUGCACCGAAGCUGCGGCAGCGACACUAUGUGUUGUUGGGUAGGGGAGCGUUCUGUAAGCCUGCGAAGGUGGCCUGUGAGGGUUGCUGGAGGUAUCAGAAGUGCGAAUGCUGACAUAAGUAACGAUAAAGCGGGUGAAAAGCCCGCUCGCCGGAAGACCAAGGGUUCCUGUCCAACGUUAAUCGGGGCAGGGUGAGUCGACCCCUAAGGCGAGGCCGAAAGGCGUAGUCGAUGGGAAACAGGUUAAUAUUCCUGUACUUGGUGUUACUGCGAAGGGGGGACGGAGAAGGCUAUGUUAGCCGGGCGACGGUUGUCCCGGUUUAAGCAUGUAGGCGGAGGUUCCAGGUAAAUCCGGUACCUUUUAACGCUGAGGUGUGAUGACGAGGCACUACGGUGCUGAAGUAACAAAUGCCCUGCUUCCAGGAAAAGCCUCUAAGCAUCAGGUAACAUCAAAUCGUACCCCAAACCGACACAGGUGGUCAGGUAGAGAAUACCAAGGCGCUUGAGAGAACUCGGGUGAAGGAACUAGGCAAAAUGGUGCCGUAACUUCGGGAGAAGGCACGCUGGUGUGUAGGUGAAGUCCCUGCGGAUGGAGCUGAGACCAGUCGAAGAUACCAGCUGGCUGCAACUGUUUAUUAAAAACACAGCACUGUGCAAACACGAAAGUGGACGUAUACGGUGUGACGCCUGCCCGGUGCCGGAAGGUUAAUUGAUGGGGUUAUCCGUAAGGAGAAGCUCUUGAUCGAAGCCCCGGUAAACGGCGGCCGUAACUAUAACGGUCCUAAGGUAGCGAAAUUCCUUGUCGGGUAAGUUCCGACCUGCACGAAUGGCGUAAUGAUGGCCAGGCUGUCUCCACCCGAGACUCAGUGAAAUUGAACUCGCUGUGAAGAUGCAGUGUACCCGCGGCAAGACGGAAAGACCCCGUGAACCUUUACUAUAGCUUGACACUGAACAUUGAGCCUUGAUGUGUAGGAUAGGUGGGAGGCUUUGAAGCGUGGACGCCAGUCUGCGUGGAGCCAACCUUGAAAUACCACCCUUUAAUGUUUGAUGUUCUAACGUUGGCCCCUUAUCGGGGUUGCGGACAGUGUCUGGUGGGUAGUUUGACUGGGGCGGUCUCCUCCCAAAGAGUAACGGAGGAGCACGAAGGUUAGCUAAUCCUGGUCGGACAUCAGGAGGUUAGUGCAAUGGCAUAAGCUAGCUUGACUGCGAGCGUGACGGCGCGAGCAGGUGCGAAAGCAGGUCAUAGUGAUCCGGUGGUUCUGAAUGGAAGGGCCAUCGCUCAACGGAUAAAAGGUACUCCGGGGAUAACAGGCUGAUACCGCCCAAGAGUUCAUAUCGACGGCGGUGUUUGGCACCUCGAUGUCGGCUCAUCACAUCCUGGGGCUGAAGUAGGUCCCAAGGGUAUGGCUGUUCGCCAUUUAAAGUGGUACGCGAGCUGGGUUUAGAACGUCGUGAGACAGUUCGGUCCCUAUCUGCCGUGGGCGCUGGAGAAUUGAGGGGGGCUGCUCCUAGUACGAGAGGACCGGAGUGGACGCAUCACUGGUGUUCGGGUUGUCAUGCCAAUGGCACUGCCCGGUAGCUAAAUGCGGAAGAGAUAAGUGCUGAAAGCAUCUAAGCACGAAACUUGCCCCGAGAUGAGUUCUCCCUGAGACUUUAAGUCUCCUGAAGGAACGUUGAAGACGACGACGUUGAUAGGCCGGGUGUGUAAGCGCAGCGAUGCGUUGAGCUAACCGGUACUAAUGAACCGUGAGGCUUAACCUUACAACGCCGAAGCUGUU